This 129-nucleotide transfer RNA is filed under the name Armatimonadota bacterium. RNAcentral describes it as "Armatimonadetes bacterium (rhizosphere metagenome) tRNA-OTHER". Lineage: Bacteria; Bacillati; Armatimonadota. The record is from RNAcentral.
GGAGAGUGUAGCUCAACGGCAGAGCACGAAAAACCCGUUGUCCGCCCUUUGCCCGUCUGCGGGCCGUUGGAGGACGGUUAUCGCUCAUAACGACGAGGUCGGGCGUUCGACUCGCCCCGCUCUCCGCCA